GGGGGAUAUUGCGCAAUGGGGGAAACCCUGACGCAGCAACGCCGCGUGAAGGAAGAAGGUCUUCGGAUUGUAAACUUCUUUUGUCAGGGACGAAGAAAGUGACGGUACCUGACGAAUAAGCUCCGGCUAACUACGUGCCAGCAGCCGCGGUAAUACGUAGGGAGCGAGCGUUGUCCGGAUUUACUGGGUGUAAAGGGUGCGUAGGCGGCCGAGCAAGUCAGUUGUGAAAACUAUGGGCUUAACCCAUAACGUGCAAUUGAAACUGUCCGGCUUGAGUGAAGUAGAGGUAGGCGGAAUUCCCGGUGUAGCGGUGAAAUGCGUAGAGAUCGGGAGGAACACCAGUGGCGAAGGCGGCCUACUGGGCUUUAACUGACGCUGAGGCACGAAAGCAUGGGUAGCAAACAGGAUUAGAUACCCUGGUAGUCCAUGCCGUAAACGAUGAUCACUAGGUGUGGGGGGACUGACCCCUUCCGUGCCGCAGUUAACACAAUAAGUAAUCCACCUGGGGAGUACGGCCGCAAGGUUGAAACUCAAAGGAAUUGACGGGGGCCCGCACAAGCAGUGGAGUAUGUGGUUUAAUUCGAAGCAACGCGAAGAACCUUACCAGGUCUUGACAUCCUGAGAAUCCUUAAGAGAUUAGGGAGUGCCUUCGGGAACUCAGAGACAGGUGGUGCAUGGUUGUCGUCAGCUCGUGUCGUGAGAUGUUGGGUUAAGUCCCGCAACGAGCGCAACCCUUGCUAUUAGUUGCUACGCAAGAGCACUCUAAUAGGACUGCCGUUGACAAAACGGAGGAAGGUGGGGACGACGUCAAAUCAUCAUGCCCCUUAUGACCUGGGCUACACACGUACUACAAUGGCCAUUAACAGAGGGAAGCAAAACCGCGAGGCAGAGCAAACCCCUAAAAAUGGUCCCAGUUCGGAUUGUAGGCUGCAACCCGCCUACAUGAAGUUGGAAUUGCUAGUAAUCGCGGAUCAGCAUGCCGCGGUGAAUACGUUCCCG
Molecule: ribosomal RNA, 999 nt
Filed under: uncultured bacterium
Lineage: Bacteria
Description: bacterial SSU rRNA
Rfam family: Bacterial small subunit ribosomal RNA
Source: RNAcentral